GCGUGAGAUGGAGAUCCAAAGACGCUUUGGAAGGCUGCUGAACACAAACACGCUCGCGUCGGCCCUCUGCUGGCAGCAGCCGGGUGCGCGGCGACGGUCAGAUAGGCUGCUUCUCCGUCCUUUUCAACAUUUCUGAGCCCGCUAUUCACCAGGCCAGCUUGCCUUCGGGAAUCUCCCUCCACACACUCCAAGGCGUGUUCCAGCUGACCCCCCCCUUUGCUGUGAUGGCUCAAAUCCCAAGUCCUCCACUCACCAGCUCUAAGACACCGGAUGAGACAUUUAACCUCUUCUUGUCCUGAUUUCCUCCUCUGUAAAAUGGGGAGCACGCUGGGACCUGCUUCAGAGCGGUUACGAGUUUGAAAUGAGUUCAGAUACAGAAAACACUUGGAACAGCGCCUGCAUGCUCCAGGAAAGGAAUUCACAUAAAGUAGACACCUAAGGAAAUGAGCAUUGGAGUGACACUCAGAGAACCCCGAGACAGGGAGACGUGGGAAACCGAUGUGCAUUUGGAGGUGAAAGAAGCUGGAAAAAUCGUUGCUGGCAGUGCUGUUCCUGGAAGGGAGACGAAGGCGGGAAGACACAUUUGGGUUACAGGAAGAGGCGGCCCCUCAUGCAGCAUCUUUAGUCUAUAAGGGCCCAGGGCUCUGCGCUGAAAGCACUAAUUGGAUUUCAUUAAGGCGAAAUAGAUUUCCUAGCACUGGAAGAGCCAGUUCAUUAAUUUCACACAUGCUCUACUGGAGGAAGGCAUGGGGAAGGGCAGCCAGCCCCAGUCUCCCCAGGCUAAGAUCAGAGCUGGGAGCCCGCUGCAGUUUGGUGCAGAGCCUGGAUUCUGAGCACCUGCUCCAUGCCAGUGCCUGGGCUGGCCAUCGGGGGUGCAGUGAUGAACCAGAUACAACCACCACCUCCGGUAACUCGGUCUUGGAGGAGGCAGCCGCACAAGGCAGGGCGUGCACAGUGACAGGGUGCUGGACAAGGGUGUGUUCCAGGUACUGGACAUCCCGUGGAGCAGACCGACCUGGUGCUGGAGCUGAGAAGAGUGAUCUGGGCAGGAAUUUUAAAUUGGGGACAUUUGAACAUAUAAAAGGUGGUCAAUGCCCAGGUCCGGAUGACGUCACCAGGGGAGAGAGUAGGAGGGGCGGGGUCAUCUUAGUUCUUUCUUCCUCUCAGAGCAAGAAUUCCUUCCACACCUUCCACUGACAGGUGGCUCCCCAGCCCCUGCUUGCAUGCUCCAAUGACAGGCCGCUCACUACCAGCCAAGCCAGUCCUGCCUGCUUUUGGAAGUCCUGGCUGUUAGUUAAAUUCUUUUGUAUGCGGGCCAAAGUCUCCCUUCCCUUUUGAUUUUACUCCUUUGUUCUGAUUCCAUCUGCUGGAGACCCGGCCCGUCCAGUCGGCUCCCUCUUUGCCAUGAUCUGCUAGAACCCACAGAUGUGGUUCACCACACCUUCCUUCUUCUCCGAUAGUGGGUCCCUGGGUUUCUUCUGAGGGUACCGCACCGUCCCCACUGCCGUCUCCCAUCCCAGGAAGCGACAAAGUCUUGUUUUAACGUCUGAACCGUGGCCUUAGAGACCAGAAGAAGAGGGGACACUUAAAACUAAGAGACUUCCCUUCUGUGUCUUUAUUAAACACACCCAGUUCCUUCUGCCACUCUUAGCUGCCUCAGUGGCUACCCCAGAUAUUUUUGUCUCUGGGUUGGGGUCUCCACGCUGGAGGUCAUCACAUGAAACCAGUGGCCGUACCAGGGACCCCCUCAUCUUACACAAGCUUUUUUUAUUUAUUUU
Long non-coding RNA from Lynx canadensis (Canada lynx), 1778 nucleotides. RefSeq lists it as uncharacterized. Lineage: Eukaryota; Metazoa; Chordata; Mammalia; Carnivora; Felidae. The transcript has 5 exons. The record is from RefSeq and is a predicted model, not a curated record.